RNAcentral lists this unclassified non-coding RNA (4510 nucleotides) under Leishmania donovani. RNAcentral describes it as "gene:LdHU3.03.0950(CDS-product:hypothetical_prote in_conserved)". The record is from RNAcentral. Lineage: Eukaryota; Euglenozoa; Kinetoplastea; Trypanosomatida; Trypanosomatidae.
UAUCGACGUGCACGUGUACAGCCGCAUCGGCCCCACACGCACAGCCGGCGUCAUACGCAUAGACAUAGACUCGCACGCCUUACGCAUAGAGGAGAGCCCAACCACUCGUGUGCGCGAGACUCGUGCGGAUUACAACCCUCUGGAGCUGUUCUCCCCCUCCCCCUCCCCCCACUCUACUGCCCCCCCCCUCUUCCUCCCCGUGCGCAUGUCAGCUCACGCCGAGUUCGCCGAGCGCCUAAAGGCGCUUUUCACGACGGAGCUGCGGCGCCAAGGCAUCGCCGACACGGAGGGCUGGGCAGAGAAGCUGAACACCUACUGCAGCUACGUGCCCGCGACCUCUGCCGAUGACCGCAGCAGCGGCGCUGGCGAUCGGCAAAGGACGUCGCCGUCGACGGUGCUGGUGAUCGACAUGACCAACCUCGAGGUGGGCGACAAGCCUGUCGUGGCGCUUAGCGAGUCCCUUCUGAAGAUGGAGGGGCCUUCGUGGCGAGGACGCUUCGCCGACGUGAGUGAGUGGCAGGUUCUUUGGCGGCGGUGCGCUCUAACAGACCGUGUCGUGCGCCAUCUCGAGCUUCUCCUGCUGGGGUGCCAACGGCUCACGCUGUUGGACGUGUCGGCGAAUGCCUUAUCGACGGAGGGGCAGGCGAGUCUGCUGCACGCCGCCGCGGAGGUGCCGUGUGACGUGGUGAUUGCCGAAGAUGCGCGCGCCACGCACAGCGGAAGUCGGACGCGCGAGACCAGCGCCCCGUCCUCCUCGCUCUGCACCCCCUUUCCACGCGAGUUUGCCGAGCGCCAGCGCCACAGCCAGACGAGCGGCCAUCACAGACGCAGCGGCGGCGAUGGCAACGCAGCCGAAGGCACCCGCAUCGCCAGUCACGGCGCCAUCGAACAGCAGCGCAGCAGUGGAGCGCGGCGCCAAUCCACGUCGCCGUCGGGACAAGCAGCGACUCCGCGCCCGCUGCGCCAGCUAUCACCGCCUUUCAGCGGAGCCUCCGCCUCCGCCUCGCCAUCGCUGCGCAGCUACGCGAGCGGCAGUGCCGAAGCUCUGCAGAAGCGCCGUGAGGAGCUUUUUGGCCGCUCCAACACCGCCGCACCAGCGAUAGCAACGGUACCGCCGACCGCAGCCACCGCCUCAGCAAGGGACAUGUCGACGCCGACAAGAAGUGUGGACAUGAAGAAAGGCGUCAGCACUGGCAGCACCACCACAAGCGAUGGCAUUGUUGAGUUCGAGGCGGUGCCGUCGACGGCGACGGGCUCCCCCGCGGCGGCCGAGCGGCCACACCCGCAGCGGCGGCCUGCGGAGGAGGGCACCCGCACCGGCGGCAGUCAUUCGCCGUUUGCCGCCGCCACCGCCACCGCCACAAAAGGGCAGCCGUCUGCCCAUCGCACCGGCGGCGCGCAUGUGGCCUCUACCCCAGCCAAGGCGGACGCUGCAUCGCGGGAGCCCUUCGUAGACCGCAACGAUCAGAUCGACUUGACCGCGAACCUCAGCCCGGUGCUGGAUAGCGUUCUGGACCUCUCUGCCCUCAUGACCCGCGACGGCGCACUACGUGAGGCACGCAUGUUCGGAGGUGCUCUAACUGUGUGGGAUGUGCUCGAGGCUUACAAGAGUGCCGCGGAGCAGCAGCUGCACGGGUCCGUCUCGCACGGCGGCGAGGCCAGCGUGGAUGCAGCAACGAGCGCGAAGCUGCCGUCUGCGCUGCUGGGCGGGACGACGUACAACGCUAUAACGGUCCUUAACCUGAGUCGCAAUCAUCUCACCGCCCUCUGCGCGCUGCCGGCGACGCUGCUGCGCCUUGACGUCAGCGUCAACAACCUGACGGAGCUGAGCGGGCUGCAGGGGUGUAAGAUGUUGACAGUGCUGAACGCGCGCCGCAACCGUUUGCGCUCCAUCAGCGGGCUCGAGAAGAACCUCAGCGUGGCGCAUCUCUUCCUGGGUCACAACGGCAUCACUGCGGUCGAGGGCGUCGCCCACCUCGUCCUUCUCGAGACACUCGACCUCACGUACAACGAGCUACGCACCUGGGCGUCGCUCCGGAUGCUGUCGCUGUGCUCGGCCCUGCGACACCUGCUGCUGCGCGGCAACCCUAUCAUGGAGUCGGGCAAGCCGGGCUUCAUGGCCGUGUUGCGCAACCUCUGCCCCACCCUGCUCGUCGUCGAUGAGCACCGCAUGGCGAACUCGUGUCUGGCAGACAGGGCCCUUGCACAGCGCAGCUGGGGUCGACAGCCGAACAUGAUCAACAACACGCAGCCGUACGCGCGCACAGAGACGCUUCGUGUCGGCAGCGGUGCUGGUGCAUCGCCGUCGCUGCUUUCACACGCGGCCAAGGCCGGUAGCAGCGCCUCUGUUGACGGCUCUACCAUGUCGUCGGUCGCGUUCACGUCGUCGAGACGGCGGGAGGGCAGUCGGCCGGCACCGUUUGCCGCCGGGGACGAGGAUGUUGCGGAUGAGCGGUCGAUGAAUCUCCUGCACAUGCUAACGCGCGGGGUGACGGCUCCGACGGGCUACGGCGACUCUGUACGCAGCCAACACGCAGCCCAGCAGCUGGCGCAGACGCGGAGGGAGAAGGAGGCGCAGGCGCAGGCGGUGCGGGAGCGGCGACUGACUUCCAACGGGCGGCUGCUGCGAGGAGCAGUUGUGAAACAGCUGGCCGAGGAGUCACGCAAGUACCUCGAGGACACCAUCGUGCGCCGCAUGACGACAGCGCAACAACAACAUCUGCAAGGGAACCACAGUGCUCUGCCCGACGCUGGCGGUGGUAGCAGCGAUGCAGCCGGUGUGACCGCGAGCAACCUGAUGGCUCGCCAUGGUUCGGUGGAGCGCAACGCCUACGGCGGCGUGGCACACCCGGAGCGGAUGGAGAACCCGAUGGCAGACGUGAUGGGGUACACGGCCGCCUCGCCGGAGAAGCGACAGCGCGCGUCGACGGAGGGCGGCGUGCAGGACAAGACGGAUGCUGAACUCCUCCGCCGAUACAAGCCACGCGCAGCGCGGCUGCGACGUGAUCCAUCAGCGAAGCCACCGCAGUCGCUGGCCGCGGAAGCCUCGGCAGGCCCACCAUCGCAACAGCAGCAGCAGGCGCUGCAGCGCCGCACUGCGAGUGCUGGUCGCGCGCCAAGCCCGGCUUCCAACGGUGGUGGUGUUCACCACGGCCGAGCUGUGGUGACUCGGGGACAGUCGGCAAGGCGCACACACCGCGACGGCGAUGACGCUGCGCUGGCGGCACUCUACGCAGGCGACGCAAGAGGGCGUUUCUCGGGAGAAGCCGCACGAGGCGCCAGCGGCUCUUACGCGGCGCUGCACGUCGCGGAUCAGCGUCAGCCGCGUGCCCAGGAAGAUGCGGAGAUUGAGUGCUCGCCCAUCUCCAAGGAUCCACAAGCGCGGGUAGUAGCGUCGUUGAACACCACCGCAUCCAUCAUCCACGAUGAUGCCCAGCCCUACCGUGUGAACGAUCCGCCGCACUCUGCUCACCUGCGAAUGCCACCGAAAUCGAUUCGGAGGCAUCCGAGCCCUACCGCACAAGCGCACCGCUACCCCACACCGCAGGACUACAGAGAGCCGGCCGAGGUGGAUGUGACGGCUAUCUACCCACGGAGCCGCAGCCAGAGAAGCCCCUCACCCGGUGUCGGUGGUGAAACGCAGAAAGGACAGCGGCAGCGCUAUCAGCGCAUGCCUUCGCGCAGGAAUGCGUCCGCGUCGAAGCCGUCGAGUCAGUCGAGGUCGACCUCCGCCGCUGCAGUCGCAUCGAGCGCUGCACGCAGUAGCAGCGUUGGUGGCAGAGGGGCGGAGAGCGGCGCCGCUGCACCGUUGGUGGCAUCGUCUGCGGGUGCGAGAAGCCCUUCCUUGCGACCGGUGCACAUCGACGACGCUCAGCGUGCGCGCGUGAGGGGGUGGGUGCAGCAGCUCCACGACGACACAGAUGCGCUGCAAGACGCGUUGCAGACCAUCGUCGACCUCCUUGAGGCGCAGCGGCAGAAACGCAUGCCCGUGCCCGAGUCGAGCCGUGAGCUGCCACCGACGUACCUACAGGAGCGGCGCCGGUGCGUGCAGAUCAUCCAGGACAGCGGCAUGUUGCAGGACACAUAUGUGCCGAUGGACGUGGUCGUCUACUACGGCUUCAGCAAGGCUGAGCUCGAAGGUCAGACGGAUCGCAGCAUGCAAGUUGUCGCCCGUCGUGGCGGAAACACGGAGGCCGACGAGCGGGCUUGGGCGCGCGAGGUGGCGGAGCGCUCCGACGUGCUGCGGCAGGUACACCUCAUGGGAGACGCGAAGACGUGCCUGCGAUACGUGGCGCUGCUCGUCGGCGACGGCCGCGAAAAGCUACUGCAGCAGUACGUGGAUCAGUUGAAAGAGAGCCUGCGUAGCGUCUAGCGCUGCAGCUGUCGUAGCGCCGACUCCCCUCAGAGUCCGGCGACACACAGAUGUGCAUUACAGGCUCCAGAUGCAUGUGAUCACGCCUGGAGACAACUCUACGCAGUCAUAGAAACUCGCGCAUCAGCGAACAAGCAU